CCCUUAGAUGUUCUGGGCCGCAUGCGCGCUACACUGAUGAACGCAACGAGACCACCUGUACCGAAAGGCAUGGGUAAACUUGUGAAAGUUCAUCGUGAUGGGGAUAGAUUAUUGCAAUUAUUAAUCUUCAACGAGGAAUUCCUAGUAAGCGCGAGUCAUCAGCUCGCGUUGAUUACGUCCCUGCCCUUUGUACACACCGCCCGUCGCUCCUACCGAUUGAAUGGUCCGGUGAAAUCUUCGGAUUGCUGGAUAGGACUUCAUUGACCUAUCUGCGAGAAGUUGCUUGAACCUUAUCAUUUAGAGGAAGGAGAAGUCGUAACA
Molecule: ribosomal RNA, 321 nt
Filed under: uncultured eukaryote
Lineage: Eukaryota
Description: partial 18S ribosomal RNA
Rfam family: Eukaryotic small subunit ribosomal RNA
Source: RNAcentral